This 499-nucleotide ribosomal RNA is filed under the name uncultured bacterium. Its description in RNAcentral is "bacterial SSU rRNA". It matches the Rfam family "Bacterial small subunit ribosomal RNA", at positions 28 to 533 of the family's 1533-position model. The record is from RNAcentral.
GACGAACGCUGGCGGCGUGCUUAAAAACAUGCAAGUCGAACGGACUUCUCAUGAAGCUUGCGAUUGAGAAGUUAGUGGCGGACGGGUGAGUAACGCGUGGGCAACCUGCCCCUGAGCCCGGGAUAACAGUUCGAAAGGACUGCUAAAGACCGGAUAUACUUGCGGUGAAGCAUUUCACUGCAAGGAAAGGGAACGCUCAGGGGAUGGGCCCGCGUCCCAUUAGCUAGUUGGUGAGGUAACGGCCCACCAAGGCGACGAUGGGUAGCCGGCCUGAGAGGGUGAACGGCCACACUGGGACUGAGACACGGCCCAGACUCCUACGGGAGGCAGCAGUUGGGAAUCUUCGGGCAAUGGGCGCAAGCCUGACCGAGCAACGCCGCGUGAGUGAUGAAGGUUUUCGGAUUGUAAAGCUCUGUCUUCCGGGACGAUAAUGACGGUACCGGAGGAGGAAGCCGACGGCUAAACUACGUGCCAGCAGCCGCGGUAAACACGAAGAGUA